RNAcentral lists this long non-coding RNA (630 nucleotides) under Malus domestica (apple). RNAcentral's name for it is "long non-coding RNA (MDOM_LNC001688)". The record is from RNAcentral. Lineage: Eukaryota; Viridiplantae; Streptophyta; Magnoliopsida; Rosales; Rosaceae.
UUGUUUUAGUUUUACCCUAAGUUCUAUCUCUCUCUCAUCCUGAUUCCCUCCCGAGUCCCGACUCUCUCACUCUCUCACUCUCUCAAACUUUCAGACCUUCCCUCGACUCCGAUCCCCUCACCAACCUUCCUUCCCUCGACUCCGAUCCCCUCACCAACCGUCGUUUCUCCUCGGCGAAUACAACGGGACCACCCUUGCCAUCGACAACAUCCCAGAGAACCCAGGCCAUCACCCUUGCCGGUCGAUUCUCUCCUCUUCGACAGCAACCCCGCCGUCGUGACUCCAUCACCCCAUCACCGUCGUGACCGCCAGAGAACCCAGGCCAUCAUCCCUCUAAAAUUUAGGUAAUUUUGAAUUAGGGUUUUGUUGUUAAUUUGAAUUUUGGGUGUAGGGAUUUUUAGGGUUUUUAAAUUGGAAUUUGGGAUUUUAGGGUUUUUCGAACUAGGUUACUACUAGAGUUAAUUUUCCAUUUGCAUGUUGAUAAGAUUUGUAAGAGGCUGUGUUUAACUUUAACCCUCUAUUUCGGAAAACAUGGUUGCAUUUUAUAGCUGUGCCUGUGCAUUUAUUCAGGUAUAACUGUGCCAAACAAUGUAAAGUUUCUGAUUUGAGAGGCAUGAAGUAUAACUAGGU